UGGGGAAUAUUGCACAAUGGGCGCAAGCCUGAUGCAGCCAUGCCGCGUGUGUGAAGAAGGCCUUCGGGUUGUAAAGCACUUUCAGCGGGGAGGAAGGCGAUAAGGUUAAUAACCUUGUCGAUUGACGUUACCCGCAGAAGAAGCACCGGCUAACUCCGUGCCAGCAGCCGCGGUAAUACGGAGGGUGCAAGCGUUAAUCGGAAUUACUGGGCGUAAAGCGCACGCAGGCGGUCUGUCAAGUCGGAUGUGAAAUCCCCGGGCUCAACCUGGGAACUGCAUUCGAAACUGGCAGGCUAGAGUCUUGUAGAGGGGGGUAGAAUUCCAGGUGUAGCAGUGAAAAGCGUAGAGAUCUGGAGGAAUACCGGUGGCGAAGGCGGCCCCCUGGACAAAGACUGACGCUCAGGUGCGAAAGCGUGGGGAGCAAACAGG
RNAcentral lists this ribosomal RNA (429 nucleotides) under Chloroflexota bacterium. RNAcentral describes it as "Chloroflexi bacterium partial 16S ribosomal RNA". It matches the Rfam family "Bacterial small subunit ribosomal RNA", at positions 355 to 776 of the family's 1533-position model. The record is from RNAcentral. Lineage: Bacteria; Bacillati; Chloroflexota.